GACGAACGCUGGCGGCGUGCUUAACACAUGCAAGUCGAACGGAAAGGCCCUGCUUUUGUGGGGUGCUCGAGUGGCGAACGGGUGAGUAACACGUGAGUAACCUGCCCUUGACUUUGGGAUAACUUCAGGAAACUGGGGCUGAUACCGGAUAGGAGCUCCUGCUGCAUGGUGGGGGUUGGAAAGUUUCGGCGGUUGGGGAUGGACUCGCGGCUUAUCAGCUUGUUGGUGGGGUAGUGGCUUACCAAGGCUUUGACGGGUAGCCGGCCUGAGAGGGUGACCGGCCACAUUGGGACUGAGAUACGGCCCAGACUCCUACGGGAGGCAGCAGUGGGGAAUAUUGCACAAUGGGCAGAAGCCUGAUGCAGCAACGCCGCGUGCGGGAUGACGGCCUUCGGGUUGUAAACCGCUUUCGCCUGUGACGAAGCGUGAGUGACGGUAAUGGGUAAAGAAGCACCGGCUAACUACGUG
Molecule: ribosomal RNA, 468 nt
Filed under: uncultured bacterium
Lineage: Bacteria
Description: partial 16S ribosomal RNA
Rfam family: Bacterial small subunit ribosomal RNA
Source: RNAcentral